This 253-nucleotide ribosomal RNA is filed under the name uncultured bacterium. RNAcentral describes it as "partial 16S ribosomal RNA". It matches the Rfam family "Bacterial small subunit ribosomal RNA", at positions 524 to 776 of the family's 1533-position model. The record is from RNAcentral.
UACAGAGGGUGCGAGCGUUGUCCGGAAUCACUGGGCGUAAAGGGCGCGUAGGCGGCUUGAUAAGCGUGCGGUGAAAGCCCGGGGCUCAACCCCGGGUCGGCCGUGCGAACUGUCGAGCUGGAGCACUGUAGAGGCAGGUGGAAUUCCGGGUGCAGCGGUGGAAUGCGUAGAGAUCCGGAAGAACACCGGUGGCGAAGGCGGCCUGCUGGGCAGUGGCUGACGCUGAGGCGCGACAGCGUGGGGAGCGAACAGG